CCUACGGGUGGCAGCAGUGGGGAAUAUUGCACAAUGGGGGAAACCCUGAUGCAGCGACGCCGCGUGAGUGAAGAAGUAUUUCGGUACGUAAAGCUCUAUCAGCAGGGAAGAAAAUGACGGUACCUGACUAAGAACCCCCGGCUCACUACGUGCCAGCAGCCGCGGUAAUCCGUAGGGGGCAAGCGUUAUCCGGAUUUACUGGGUGUAAAGGGAGCGUAGACGGCAGCGCAAGUCUGGAGUGAAAUCCCAGGGCUUAACCAUGGAACUGCUUUUGAAACUGUGCAGCUAGAGUGCAGGAGAGGUAAGUGGAAUGCGGGGUGUAGCGGUGAAAUGCGUAGAUAUUAGGAGGAACACCAGUGGCGAAGGCGGCUUACUGGACUGUAACUGACGUUGAGGCACGAAAGCGUGGGGAGCAAACAGGAUUAGAUACCCGUGUAGUC
This 440-nucleotide ribosomal RNA is filed under the name uncultured bacterium. Its description in RNAcentral is "partial 16S ribosomal RNA". It matches the Rfam family "Bacterial small subunit ribosomal RNA", at positions 338 to 795 of the family's 1533-position model. The record is from RNAcentral.